This 73-nucleotide transfer RNA is filed under the name Chthoniobacterales bacterium. RNAcentral's name for it is "tRNA-Thr". It matches the Rfam family "tRNA". Rfam says of the family: Transfer RNA (tRNA) molecules are approximately 80 nucleotides in length. Their secondary structure includes four short double-helical elements and three loops (D, anti-codon, and T loops). Lineage: Bacteria; Pseudomonadati; Verrucomicrobiota; Spartobacteria; Chthoniobacterales. The record is from RNAcentral.
GCCGCGAAAGCAUGACGAAGUGAUGCGCCCGCCUUGUAAGCGGGAGAACCGGGUGCAACUCCCUGUCGCGGCC